RNAcentral lists this ribosomal RNA (965 nucleotides) under Escherichia coli. Its description in RNAcentral is "partial 23S ribosomal RNA". It matches the Rfam family "Bacterial large subunit ribosomal RNA", at positions 1920 to 2879 of the family's 2925-position model. The record is from RNAcentral. Lineage: Bacteria; Pseudomonadati; Pseudomonadota; Gammaproteobacteria; Enterobacterales; Enterobacteriaceae.
CCGGUAAACGGCGGCCGUAACUAUAACGGUCCUAAGGUAGCGAAAUUCCUUGUCGGGUAAGUUCCGACCUGCACGAAUGGCGUAAUGAUGGCCAGGCUGUCUCCACCCGAGACUCAGUGAAAUUGAACUCGCUGUGAAGAUGCAGUGUACCCGCGGCAAGACGGAAAGACCCCGUGAACCUUUACUAUAGCUUGACACUGAACAUUGAGCCUUGAUGUGUAGGAUAGGUGGGAGGCUUAGAAGUGUGGACGCCAGUCUGCAUGGAGCCGACCUUGAAAUACCACCCUUUAAUGUUUGAUGUUCUAACGUUGACCCGUAAUCCGGGUUGCGGACAGUGUCUGGUGGGUAGUUUGACUGGGGCGGUCUCCUCCUAAAGAGUAACGGAGGAGCACGAAGGUUGGCUAAUCCUGGUCGGACAUCAGGAGGUUAGUGCAAUGGCAUAAGCCAGCUUGACUGCGAGCGUGACGGCGCGAGCAGGUGCGAAAGCAGGUCAUAGUGAUCCGGUGGUUCUGAAUGGAAGGGCCAUCGCUCAACGGAUAAAAGGUACUCCGGGGAUAACAGGCUGAUACCGCCCAAGAGUUCAUAUCGACGGCGGUGUUUGGCACCUCGAUGUCGGCUCAUCACAUCCUGGGGCUGAAGUAGGUCCCAAGGGUAUGGCUGUUCGCCAUUUAAAGUGGUACGCGAGCUGGGUUUAGAACGUCGUGAGACAGUUCGGUCCCUAUCUGCCGUGGGCGCUGGAGAACUGAGGGGGGCUGCUCCUAGUACGAGAGGACCGGAGUGGACGCAUCACUGGUGUUCGGGUUGUCAUGCCAAUGGCACUGCCCGGUAGCUAAAUGCGGAAGAGAUAAGUGCUGAAAGCAUCUAAGCACGAAACUUGCCCCGAGAUGAGUUCUCCCUGACCCUUUAAGGGUCCUGAAGGAACGUUGAAGACGACGACGUUGAUAGGCCGGGUGUGUAAGCGCAGC